UACGUAGGGUGCAAGCGUUGUCCGGAAUUAUUGGGCGUAAAGAGCUCGUAGGCGGUCCGUCGCGUCGGCUGUGAAAUCCCGGAGCUCAACUCCGGGUCUGCAGUCGAUACGGGCAAACUGGAGUACUGCAGGGGAGACUGGAAUUCCUGGUGUAGCGGUGAAAUGCGCAGAUAUCAGGAAGAACACCCGUGGCUAAGGCGGCUCUCUAGUACGGUACUGACGCUGAGACGCGAAAGCGUGGGGAGCGAACAGG
RNAcentral lists this ribosomal RNA (253 nucleotides) under uncultured bacterium. RNAcentral's name for it is "partial 16S ribosomal RNA". It matches the Rfam family "Bacterial small subunit ribosomal RNA", at positions 524 to 776 of the family's 1533-position model. The record is from RNAcentral.